Molecule: RNA transcript, 2473 nt
Organism: Strongylocentrotus purpuratus (purple sea urchin)
Lineage: Eukaryota; Metazoa; Echinodermata; Echinoidea; Camarodonta; Strongylocentrotidae
Gene: pofut1
Gene name: protein O-fucosyltransferase 1
Exons: 9
Source: RefSeq, marked provisional
UCGUCUAGUCUAGUCUACGUCUGCAGACAAACACUUCGAGCUGACCUUGCUUUGCUUUGUGAGGGAUAUGAUAGAUUAGAAGUCACAAAAGUGUCCUGUAUUGAGAAACCGUUGCCAAUUCAGGAACUCAACUUCUCUUUAAGUGCUUCUACCAUGAGACUUCUACUAUCCCUGUCUUCCUUAGUGCUCUCCCUGACCUUGAGCCUCUGUGAAGAUCACCUUGACAGUGACUUUCAGAGCAAUGAAGGCUUGGUUGUCACGGAUGAGAGAGAGGAUGGUGUCUUUUCAGCUGGAGGAGCAGGACUUGAGGUGUCACAAGCCGCACCUAAACUAGAAUGGGAUCCUAAUGGAUACUUCACAUUCUGCCCCUGCAUGGGGAGGUUUGGAAACCAGGCAGAGCACUACCUUGGAUCACUAGCCUUUGGUAAAGCACUCAAUAGAACCAUCAUCUUACCUCCGUUCAGGACUUAUAUCAACAUCCCUUUCACUGACUGGUUUCAGUUUGAACCCAUGCUAGAGUUCUAUCCUCGUCUCAUCACCAUGGAAACCUUCAUGGAGGAACUAGCUCCCAAGUACUGGCCAGAGAAUGAGAGGAGAGGUUACUGCUGGCUUUACCUCAACAGUGAUGCUCAAUGUGAAAUGAAGAGAGGGAAUCCAUUUGGCCCAUUUUGGGACGGCUUUGGCAUUAAUUUUGCGGAAGAGAUCAAAUUUGAGAUUUUCAGCCAUGCUGACCUUUCCAAUACACAAGACAUGGAAAAAAUUAAGGAACAUUGGGACAGAAGUUUUCCAGUAAAAGAUCAUCCUGUCUUAGCAUUGAAAGGGGCACCAGCCCCAUUCCCAAUGAGAGCGAGUAACCGGGUCAUCCAGAACUACUUCAAAUGGAACGAGGGGUUGUUUGCUGAGGCCAAGCACCACAUGGAUCAUCUCUUUAACGGAGAGCCUUACGUUGGCAUUCAUCUUAGGACUGGCAUUGAUUGGGAAAGAUCAUGUGAGACGGUAGAAGGGAUGAGACAGAUGAUGGCAUCACCCCAAUGUCAUAAGGUGGGUCAGGAGCCGGUUACCAAGGCCAUGUGUUACCCUACCAAGGAGAUGGUUCUAGAGGAAACCAGAGCUGCGGUGGAGAAGUACAAGACCAAACAUGUCUUCAUCGCUACCGAUAAAUUCUCCUACCAGAAGGAACUGAAAGAGAUGUUUGGAGAUGAGGUCAAAGUUCACCAUCUCGACCCCCACAUGCCACAGAUUGACCUCAUCAUCCUUGGCCAAUCAGAGUUCUUCAUUGGUAACUGUGUCUCAUCCUUCACAUCCUUUGUGAAGCGGGAGAGAGACGGAAACGGGAAACCAUCAACGUUCUGGAGUAUAGGAGUUUGAUGAAGCGCAUAGCAUCUUCUUGCACAAUGUCUUUCAAUUUAUACUUUGUAGUCGGGUGAUUACGUUCAACGUGCCCGCACAACAUGUGACUUUUAUCUGUUUAUGACCAUUAACAAGUGGCUCUUUCCGUAACACUACCAUUACUCAAUGGUCAUAUCAAAAGACUUUUCUUUUUUGGAUACCGGCGCUAUAUAAAUAUCCAUAUUAUUAUUAUUAAUGAAAUCACAUUGUUUGUUAAUAUACAAAGUGCAUUUAUUAAUGUACUCAAAGUAAUACUACCCAGGCAGAUCAUUCAAUUCAUUAUUCACUCAAUUAUAAAAACAGAUACAUAAAAUUGCGUAUGAAGAUGGACAUAGUAAAAUCAGGAGUUGAAACCACAAGUAACAGAAACUGAGGGGGGAUCAGAUUAAAGAUCUAUUUAAGGAUCUUGUGAAUUUAUAGUUUUUAAUUAUUUUAGUUUACCCAAAAUGCUUUCUCUGACUUACUUUCUUCACUGCUAUGAUGUCUUUCAUUUUCAAACUUCAAGCAAUGGCUUUCAAAGCAAGCCUUAAAUGUAGGUUGAAUAUAUUUAUCUAAUGCAUAUUUUUGCAAAUCUCUUUUGUGCCUUUGUGCAAAUAUCUUCUCAAGUAUUACAUUUUAAGGGUAUGCCUGUAUUUUACAAUCAAAUUCAUCCAUUUUAGUUCGAAAGAACGCUUUCCUCCAAGUGUCUUAUUUCUUUGUGUCUAAAUCUUUUAGGUUAUCCAACAUAUCUUGCGACUUUUGCUACAGGUUUUAUUUCCUCAUAUAUAUUGGUGUAGAUCUUGGGUCACACAUGGGUGUAAGUUUACAAUUUGGGUGGCUACAACAGUUAAAUAUUAUUCUUGGUAUGGCGUUAAAAUUACAUGUUGGAGUUUGUAGUGUCGGCUUUUAACAGUUUGGGUUAUAGAUGGGUUUACUUUAAGGGUUACAGCAGUCGGUAUUAUGUAGGGUGCUAGUGUCUCCAGAGUAUGUCUCGUACAAUUAUCUUUCAUUGCCUACUCUUGAGAAAUUCCUUUCAGCAUAACAUUCUCAGGGAUGUGAUUCCUCCACCGAUUCCAAGACGGAAAAAAAAAAAAAAAAAAAAAAA